AACGUGCCCUGUAGUGGGGGAUAACUAGUCGAAAGAUUAGCUAAUACCGCAUACGACCUGAGGGUGAAAGUGGGGGACCGCAAGGCCUCAUGCUAUAGGAGCGGCCGAUGUCUGAUUAGCUAGUUGGUGGGGUAAAGGCCCACCAAGGCGACGAUCAGUAGCUGGUCUGAGAGGACGAUCAGCCACACUGGGACUGAGACACGGCCCAGACUCCUACGGGAGGCAGCAGUGGGGAAUUUUGGACAAUGGGCGAAAGCCUGAUCCAGCAAUGCCGCGUGUGUGAAGAAGGCCUUCGGGUUGUAAAGCACUUUUGUCCGGAAAGAAAUGGCUCUGGUUAAUACCUGNGGUCGAUGACGGUACCGGAAGAAUAAGGACCGGCUAACUACGUGCCAGCAGCCGCGGUAAUACGUAGGGUCCAAGCGU
RNAcentral lists this ribosomal RNA (423 nucleotides) under uncultured bacterium. Its description in RNAcentral is "bacterial SSU rRNA". It matches the Rfam family "Bacterial small subunit ribosomal RNA", at positions 123 to 541 of the family's 1533-position model. The record is from RNAcentral.